GGAGGCUCUUGGGCCCGAACGGCGGGCUCCAUCCCCAGGUCACAGCCUGCGCAGCCGGCGUGCGGAUCACGUGUAUAUGGACACGCAUCGAACUUCGGAGGAGCCCCCGAGUUCGGUUUCAACAUCUCGUUGAAGACGGCUCCUUCAGACCCACGAGGAUGGUCUUGAGGCCUCGUGUCGCUGACACGUCUGCGCACUCACAGCUAC
RNAcentral lists this long non-coding RNA (207 nucleotides) under Mustela putorius furo (domestic ferret). Its description in RNAcentral is "lncRNA (ENSMPUG00000027640.1)". Lineage: Eukaryota; Metazoa; Chordata; Mammalia; Carnivora; Mustelidae. The record is from RNAcentral.